GGGGGAAAGAUUUAUCGGAAUUGGAUGAGCCCGCGUUGGAUUAGCUAGUUGGUGGGGUAAAGGCCUACCAAGGCGACGAUCCAUAGCUGGUCUGAGAGGAUGAUCAGCCACAUUGGGACUGAGACACGGCCCAAACUCCUACGGGAGGCAGCAGUGGGGAAUAUUGGACAAUGGGCGCAAGCCUGAUCCAGCCAUGCCGCGUGAGUGAUGAAGGUCUUAGGAUUGUAAAGCUCUUUCACCGGAGAAGAUAAUGACGGUAUCCGGAGAAGAAGCCCCGGCUAACUUCGUGCCAGCAGCCGCGGUAAUACGAAGGGGGCUAGCGUUGUUCGGAUUUACUGGGCGUAAAGCGCACGUAGGCGGACUUUUCAGUCAGGGGUGAAAUCCCGGGGCUCAACCCCGGAACUGCCUUUGAUACUGGAAAUCUUGAGUACGAAAGAGGUGAGUGGAAUUGCGAGUGUAGAGGUGAAAU
This 469-nucleotide ribosomal RNA is filed under the name Phyllobacterium ifriqiyense. Its description in RNAcentral is "bacterial SSU rRNA". It matches the Rfam family "Bacterial small subunit ribosomal RNA", at positions 198 to 687 of the family's 1533-position model. Lineage: Bacteria; Pseudomonadati; Pseudomonadota; Alphaproteobacteria; Hyphomicrobiales; Phyllobacteriaceae. The record is from RNAcentral.